AGUGAACGCUGGCGGUAGGCCUAACACAUGCAAGUCGAACGGCAGCACAGUAAGAGCUUGCUCUUACGGGUGGCGAGUGGCGGACGGGUGAGGAAUACAUCGGAAUCUACUUUUUCGUGGGGGAUAACGUAGGGAAACUUACGCUAAUACCGCAUACGACCUACGGGUGAAAGCAGCGGAUCUUCGGACCUUGCGCGAUUGAAUGAGCCGAUGUCGGAUUAGCUAGUUGGCGGGGUAAAGGCCCACCCAGGCGACGAUCCGUAGCUGGUCUGAGAGGAUGAUCAGCCACACUGGAACUGAGACACGGUCCAGACUCCUACGGGAGGCAGCAGUGGGGAAUAUUGGACAAUGGGCGCAAGCCUGAUCCAGCCAUACCGCGUGGGUGAAGAAGGCCUUCGGGUUGUAAAGCCCUUUUGUUGGGAAAGAAAAGCAGCAGGUUAAUACCCCGCUGUUCUGACGGUACCCAAAGAAUAAGCACCGGCUAACUUCGUG
This 492-nucleotide ribosomal RNA is filed under the name uncultured bacterium. RNAcentral describes it as "partial 16S ribosomal RNA". It matches the Rfam family "Bacterial small subunit ribosomal RNA", at positions 29 to 507 of the family's 1533-position model. The record is from RNAcentral.